UACGAGAGCCUCAAGCAUUAUCCGGAAUUACUGGGCGUAAAGAGAGCGUAGGCGGCGUGAUUAGUCUCUUGUUAAAUCUCCGAGCUCAACUCGGAAACCACAAGGGAAACGGUCAUGCUUGAGGAAGGAAGAGGUGCAUAGAACUCAUCAUGUAGGGGUGAAAUCCGUUGAUAUGAUGGGGAAUACCAAAUGCGAAGGCAGUGCACUGGUCCUUUCCUGACGCUGAGGCUCGAAAGCGUGGGUAGCGAAUGGG
RNAcentral lists this ribosomal RNA (253 nucleotides) under uncultured bacterium. RNAcentral describes it as "partial 16S ribosomal RNA". It matches the Rfam family "Bacterial small subunit ribosomal RNA", at positions 524 to 776 of the family's 1533-position model. The record is from RNAcentral.